Molecule: unclassified non-coding RNA, 202 nt
Filed under: Glomeraceae sp.
Lineage: Eukaryota; Fungi; Glomeromycota; Glomeromycetes; Glomerales; Glomeraceae
Description: partial contains 5.8S ribosomal RNA and internal transcribed spacer 2
Rfam family: 5.8S ribosomal RNA (bases 1-65)
Source: RNAcentral
GUGAAUCAUCAAAUUGUUGAACGCAAAUUGCACUCUCCUCGGAGAGUAUGCCUGUUUGAGGGUCAGCCUAUAAAAAAUCGACAUCGUUGCUGUUUCACGGUGACGUUCGUCGGAAAUUUGGUCAUCUUAUAUCUUGUGGGUUUAAGCGACUUAAAGUUUUCUUUUUGAUUCAAUGAACGACUUUCAAAGUUUUUUAUCUUUA